Molecule: long non-coding RNA, 312 nt
Organism: Oncorhynchus tshawytscha (Chinook salmon)
Lineage: Eukaryota; Metazoa; Chordata; Actinopteri; Salmoniformes; Salmonidae
Source: Ensembl
GGUCUGACUGGUCUGUGAUAGGGAGUGAGGGGUGAGGAGGUUAGGGGGAGGUGUGACUGGUCUGUGAUAGGGAGUGAGGGGUGAGGAGGUUAGGGGGAGGUCUGACUGGUCUAAGAUACGGAGGAGUUUCAUUAAAUGUUUUAUUCAACCUUUAUUUCACUAGUUAAGUCAGUUAACAGCUAAUUCUUAUUUACAAUGACGGGCUACACCGGUCAGACCCGGACAAUGCUUGGCCAAUUGUGUGCCGCCCUACGGGACUCCCGAUCACAGCUGGUUGGAUUCGAACCAGGGUGUCUGUAGGGUCGCCUCCAG